GGACCCGCACAAGUAGUGGAGCAUGUGGUUUAAUUCGAAGAUACGCGCAGAACCUUACCAACACUUGACAUGUUCGUCGCGACUUUAAGAGAUUAAAGUUUUCGGUUCGGCCGGACGAAACACAGGUGCUGCAUGGCUGUCGUCAGCUCGUGUCGUGAGAUGUUGGGUUAAGUCCCGCAACGAGCGCAACCCUCACUUUUAGUUGCCAUCAUUUAGUUGGGCACUCUGAAAGAACUGCCAGUGAUAAGCUGGAGGAAGGUGGGGAUGACGUCAAGUCCUCAUGGCCCUUACGUGUUGGGCUACACACGUGCUACAAUGGUAUCUACAAAAGGAUGCAAGAUGGCGACAUUAAGCAAAUCCUUAAAAGAUACCUCAGUUCGGAUUGCACUCUGCAACUCGAGUGCAUGAAGCUGGAAUUACUAGUAAUCGU
This 430-nucleotide ribosomal RNA is filed under the name uncultured bacterium. Its description in RNAcentral is "bacterial SSU rRNA". It matches the Rfam family "Bacterial small subunit ribosomal RNA", at positions 917 to 1345 of the family's 1533-position model. The record is from RNAcentral.